RNAcentral lists this ribosomal RNA (450 nucleotides) under uncultured bacterium. Its description in RNAcentral is "bacterial SSU rRNA". It matches the Rfam family "Bacterial small subunit ribosomal RNA", at positions 354 to 796 of the family's 1533-position model. The record is from RNAcentral.
GUGGGGAAUAUUGGACAAUGGGCGAAAGCCUGAUCCAGCCAUGCCGCGUGUGUGAAGAAGGUCUUCGGAUUGUAAAGCACUUUAAGUUGGGAGGAAGGGCAGUAAGUUAAUACCUUGCUGUUUUGACGUUACCGACAGAAUAAGCACCGGCUAACUUCGUGCCAGCAGCCGCGGUAAUACGAAGGGUGCAAGCGUUAAUCGGAAUUACUGGGCGUAAAGCGCGCGUAGGUGGUUUUGUAAGUUGGAGGUGAAAUCCCCGGGCUCAACCUGGGAACUGCCUCCAAAACUGGAUGACUAGAGUACGGUAGAGGGUAGUGGAAUGUCCUGUGUAGCGGUGAAAUGCGUAGAUAUAGGAAGGAACACCAGUGGCGAAGGCGACCACCUGGACUGAUACUGACACUGAGGUGCGAAAGCGUGGGGAGCAAACAGGAUUAGAAACCCUAGUAGUCC